AGUGAACGCUGGCGGUAGGCCUAACACAUGCAAGUCGAACGGCAGCACAGUAAGAGCUUGCUCUUACGGGUGGCGAGUGGCGGACGGGUGAGGAAUACAUCGGAAUCUACUUUUUCGUGGGGGAUAACGUAGGGAAACUUACGCUAAUACCGCAUACGACCUACGGGUGAAAGCAGGGGAUCUUCGGACCUUGCGCGAUUGCAUGAGCCGAUGUCGGAUUAGCUAGUUGGCGGGGUAAAGGCCCACCAAGGCGACGAUCCGUAGCUGGUCUGAGAGGAUGAUCAGCCACACUGGAACUGAGACACGGUCCAGACUCCUACGGGAGGCAGCAGUGGGGAAUAUUGGACGAUGGGCGCAAGCCUGAUCCAGCCAUACCGCGUGGGUGAAGAAGGCCUUCGGGUUGUAAAGCCCUUUUGUUGGGAAAGAAAAGCAGCAGGUUAAUACCCCGCUGUUCUGACGGUACCCAAAGAAUAAGCACCGGCUAACUUCGUG
Molecule: ribosomal RNA, 492 nt
Filed under: uncultured bacterium
Lineage: Bacteria
Description: partial 16S ribosomal RNA
Rfam family: Bacterial small subunit ribosomal RNA
Source: RNAcentral